RNAcentral lists this small RNA (119 nucleotides) under Chitinophagaceae bacterium. Its description in RNAcentral is "6S RNA". It matches the Rfam family "6S / SsrS RNA", at positions 38 to 149 of the family's 187-position model. From Rfam's summary of the family: E. coli 6S RNA was the first non coding RNA to be sequenced, but its function was unknown until recently. RNAcentral also lists the same sequence under 1 other name. Lineage: Bacteria; Pseudomonadati; Bacteroidota; Chitinophagia; Chitinophagales; Chitinophagaceae. The record is from RNAcentral.
GAACCGAUGCUUAUAUACAAGGGAGCCUGAGUCUGUUCGUGGUGAGCAUGCCGUAGAUGCUAUUUAGCACGCGGAAGCCUGAAGCGCACAGUAAGGCACCCACCUAGACAGGUGGGUUC